Pygoscelis adeliae (Adelie penguin) is the source of this 433-nucleotide long non-coding RNA. RefSeq lists it as uncharacterized. The transcript is spliced from 3 exons. The record is from RefSeq and is a predicted model, not a curated record. NCBI's taxonomy places the organism in Eukaryota, Metazoa, Chordata, Aves, Sphenisciformes, Spheniscidae.
CAGGCGCCUUCUUCCAACCCGGAGGUCGACAGCGCUGCCUUGGAAAGGGAAGCUGAAAUUCAUGUACAAACCCUGGGUCCCCAGCUGUUUUGUGAAAAUUGAUGAUCAAACAGAGGAGAGACCCUCAAAUUACUGUCUUGUUCUGGCAAAAGAGUUCAUCCAGUUGACCAGACAGCGCGUGUGUGUGGACUGCCCCAGUUAACACACAGGUAUUAUCAGGCCAGCUACGGAGAAAUUUCAUCUGAUUUCUGGUGUCUUUGCAGUCUGUGCGACCAAGGCUUGAAACUUCAAACUAACUGGCUGUUGCGUUAAUUCAGACUUGCGCUGGGUUCCUGGCUGCAUGACUGAGAGCUGAUUUUGCUCUCCAGAGAGCUGGAUUAGUCCUUUGAGAUGCACGUCACCACUUCGACAGUUCUGGGAGGAUUCUUUCUGA